UACGUAGGGGGCGAGCGUUGUCCGGAAUCAUUGGGCGUAAAGAGCACGUAGGCGGCCUGUCAGGUCGGAUGUGAAAACCCGCGGCUCAACUGCGGGAUUGCAUUCGAAACCGGCAGGCUAGAGUCCAGUAGAGGAAAGUGGAAUUCCCAGUGUAGCGGUGAAAUGCGCAGAUAUUGGGAAGAACACCGGCGGCGAAGGCGGCUUUCUGGGCUGUGACUGACGCUGAGGUGCGAAAGCUAGGGGAGCGAACAGGAUUAGAAACCCCUGUAGUCC
This 273-nucleotide ribosomal RNA is filed under the name uncultured prokaryote. RNAcentral describes it as "partial 16S ribosomal RNA". It matches the Rfam family "Bacterial small subunit ribosomal RNA", at positions 524 to 796 of the family's 1533-position model. The record is from RNAcentral.